CACCGGCGGACUGCUCAGUAACACGUGGACAACCUACCCUCGGGUGGGGGAUAACCUCGGGAAACUGAGGCUAAUACCCCAUAGGCCUCGGAUACUGGAAGGUUCCGAGACCGAAAGCUCCGGCGCCCGAGGAUGGGUCUGCGGCCUAUCAGGUAGUUGGUGGUGUAAAGGACCACCAAGCCUACGACGGGUACGGGCCCUGAGAGGGGGAGCCCGGAGAUGGACUCUGAGACACGAGUCCAGGCCCUACGGGGCGCAGCAGGCGCGAAACCUUCGCAAUGCGCGAAAGCGCGACGAGGGGAGCCCGAGUGCCCUUCCUUUCGGGAGGGCUUUUCUGGAGCCUAAAAAGCUCCAGGAAUGAGGGCUGGGCAAGACGGGUGCCAGCCGCCGCGGUAAUACCCGCAGCUCGAGUGGUGGCCACUAUUAUUGAGCCUAAAGCGUCCGUAGCCGGACCCGUAAAUCCCUGGGUAAAUCCUGGCGCUCAACGUCAGGAAUUCCGGGGAGACUGCGGGUCUUGGGACCGGGAGAGGCCGGAGGUACUCCCGGGGUAGGGGUAAAAUCCUGUAAUCCCGGGGGGACCACCUGUGG
Molecule: ribosomal RNA, 588 nt
Filed under: uncultured archaeon
Lineage: Archaea
Description: bacterial SSU rRNA
Rfam family: Archaeal small subunit ribosomal RNA
Source: RNAcentral